UAGGGAAUCUUCCACAAUGGACGCAAGUCUGAUGGAGCAACGCCGCGUGAGUGAAGAAGGUCUUCGGAUCGUAAAGCUCUGUUGUUGGUGAAGAAGGAUAGAGGCAGUAACUGGUCUUUAUUUGACGGUAAUCAACCAGAAAGUCACGGCUAACUACGUGCCAGCAGCCGCGGUAAUACGUAGGUGGCAAGCGUUGUCCGGAUUUAUUGGGCGUAAAGCGAGCGCAGGCGGAAUGAUAAGUCUGAUGUGAAAGCCCACGGCUCAACCGUGGAACUGCAUCGGAAACUGUCAUUCUUGGGUGCAGAAGAGGAGAGUGGAACUCCAUGUGUAGCGGUGGAAUGCGUAGAUAUAUGGAAGAACACCAGUGGCGAAGGCGGCUCUCUGGUCUGCAACUGACGCUGAGGCUCGAAAGCAUGGGUAGCGAACAGGAUUAGAUACCCUGGUAGUCCAUGCCGUAAACGAUGAGCGCUAGGUGUUGGGGACUUUCCGGUCCUCAGUGCCGCAGCAAACGCAUUAAGCGCUCCGCCUGGGGAGUACGACCGCAAGGUUGAAAC
Molecule: ribosomal RNA, 554 nt
Filed under: uncultured bacterium
Lineage: Bacteria
Description: partial 16S ribosomal RNA
Rfam family: Bacterial small subunit ribosomal RNA
Source: RNAcentral